UGAAUACGAGAUGCUACGGCGUCGAAGCAGUCUAUGUCAUACUUCCAAGAAAAGCUCGCACUGUCAUAAACAAAUAAUGCCUGUACCAUAACCGACACAGGUGGGUAGGUAGAGUAUACUAAGGGGCGCGAGAUAACUCUCUCUAAGGAACUCGGCAAAAUGACUCCGUAACUUCGGGAGAAGGAGUGCCUUAUUUAUAAGGUUGCAAUAACAAGAUCCAAGCAACUGUUUAUCAAAAACACAGGUCUCCGCUAAGUCGUAAGACGAUGUAUGGGGGCUGACGCCUGCCCAGUGCCAGAAGGUUAAAGAAGUUGGUUAGCAUUCGCGAAGCUGAUAACUGAAGCCCUGGUGAACGGCGGCCGUAACUAUAACGGUCCUAAGGUAGCGAAAUUCCUUGUCGGGUAAGUUCCGACCCGCACGAAAGGCGUAAUGAUUUGGAUACUGUCUCGGAGAGGGGCUCGGUGAAAUAGACUUGUCUGUGAAGAUGCGGACUACCUGCACCAGGACAGAAAGACCCUAUGAAGCUUUACUGUAACUUGAGAUUGAAAUUGGACUUUACUUGCGCAGUGUAGGUGGGAGGCGUUGAUAAUAUUCUUGCGGGAUUAUUUGAGCCAUCAGUGAGAUACCACUCUUGUAAUGUUAGAUUUCUAACUUUGUAUCAUCAUCUGGUCAAAGGACAGUUUCAGGCGGGCAGUUUGACUGGGGCGGUCGCCUCCUAAACGGUAACGGAGGCGCACAAAGGUUUCCUCUGAACGGGUAGAAAUCGUAUCUAGAGUGUAAAGGCAUAAGGAAGCUUGACUGUGAGACCUACAAGUCGAGCAGGGACGAAAGUCGGUCUUAGUGAUCUGACGGUGCUGAGUGGAAAGGCCGUCACUCAACGGAUAAAAGUUACUCUAGGAUAACAGGCUGAUCUCCCCCAAGAGUUCACAUCGACGGGGAGGUUUGGCACCUCGAUGUCGGCUCAUCGCAUCCUGGGGCGGUAGUACGUCCCAAGGGUUGGGCUGUUCGCCCAUGAAAGCGGUACGCGAGCUGGGUUCAGAACGUCGUGAGACAGUUCGGUCCAUAUCCGGUGUAGGCGUUAGAAUAUUGAGAGGAGCCUUCUUUAGUACGAGAGGACCGAGAAGGACAUACCUCUGGUGUACCAGUUAUCGUGCCAACGGUAAACGCUGGGUAGCUAUGUAUGGAGUGGAUAACCGCUGAAAGCAUCUAAGUGGGAAGCCCACCUCAAGAUAAGUAUUCUC
This 1241-nucleotide ribosomal RNA is filed under the name metagenome. Its description in RNAcentral is "bacterial LSU rRNA". It matches the Rfam family "Bacterial large subunit ribosomal RNA", at positions 1564 to 2815 of the family's 2925-position model. The record is from RNAcentral.